CUCGUCCUACGGGGGGCAGCAGUGAGGAAUAUUGGUCAAUGGCCGAGAGGCUGAACCAGCCAAGUCGCGUGAGGGAAGACGGCCCUACGGGUUGUAAACCUCUUUUGUCGGGGAGCAAAGCGAGUCACGUGUGACUCAUUGAGAGUACCCGAAGAAAAAGCAUCGGCUAACUCCGUGCCAGCAGCCGCGGUAAUACGGAGGAUGCGAGCGUUAUCCGGAUUUAUUGGGUUUAAAGGGUGCGUAGGCGGUUCGAUAAGUUAGAGGUGAAAUCCCGGGGCUCAACUCCGGCACUGCCUCUGAUACUG
This 305-nucleotide ribosomal RNA is filed under the name uncultured bacterium. Its description in RNAcentral is "bacterial SSU rRNA". It matches the Rfam family "Bacterial small subunit ribosomal RNA", at positions 333 to 635 of the family's 1533-position model. The record is from RNAcentral.